AGGGAUCCCGCAUGGGACUAUUUGUUAAAGAUUUAUUGGUUAUGGAUGGGCAUGCGUUCCAUUAGUUAGUUGGUAAGGUAACGGCUUACCAAGACUUCGAUGGAUAGGGGUUCUGAGAGGAAGGUCCCCCACACUGGUACUGAGACACGGACCAGACUCCUACGGGAGGCAGCAGUGAGGAAUAUUGGUCAAUGGGCGAGAGCCUGAACCAGCCAAAUCGCGUGAAGGAUGACGGUAUUAUGUAUUGUAAACUUCUUUUGUUAGGGAAUAAAGUGCGGGACGAGUCCUGUUUUGUAUGUACCUAACGAAUAAGCAUCGGCUAACUCCGUGCCAGCAGCCGCGGUAAUACGGAGGAUGCGAGCGUUAUCCGGAUUUAUUGGGUUUAAAGGGUGCGUAGGUGGUUUUUUAAGUCAGUGGUGAAAGUUUGCAGCUUAACUGUAAAAUUGCCAUUGAAACUGGGAGACUUGAGUUCGAACGAGGUAGGCGGAAUUCGUAGUGUAGCGGUGAAAUGCAUAGAUAUUACGAAGAACUCCGAUAGCGCAGGCAGCUUACCAGGCCGCGACUGACACUGAAGCACGAAAGUGUGGGUAUCAAACAGGAUUAGAUACCCUGGUAGUCCACACAGUAAACGAUGAUAACUAGCUGUUUGCGAUAUACAGUAAGCGGCACAGCGAAAGCGUUAAGUUAUCCACCUGGGGAGUACGCCGGCAACGGUGAAACUCAAAGGAAUUGACGG
This 736-nucleotide ribosomal RNA is filed under the name uncultured bacterium. RNAcentral describes it as "bacterial SSU rRNA". It matches the Rfam family "Bacterial small subunit ribosomal RNA", at positions 180 to 916 of the family's 1533-position model. The record is from RNAcentral.